ACCCGCUGAACUUAAGCAUAUCAAUAAGCGGAGGAAAAGAAACCAACAGGGAUUGCCUUAGUAACGGCGAGUGAAGCGGCAACAGCUCAAAUUUGAAAUCUGGCCUCUUUGGGGUCCGAGUUGUAAUUUGCAGAGGGCGCUUUGGCGUUGGCAGCGGUCCAAGUUCCUUGGAACAGGACGUCACAGAGGGUGAGAAUCCCGUACGUGGUCGCUAGCCUUCGCCGUGUAAAGCCCCUUCGACGAGUCGAGUUGUUUGGGAAUGCAGCUCUAAAUGGGAGGUAAAUUUCUUCUAAAGCUAAAUACUGGCCAGAGACCGAUAGCGCACAAGUAGAGUGAUCGAAAGAUGAAAAGCACUUUGGAAAGAGAGUCAAACAGCACGUGAAAUUGUUGAAAGGGAAGCGCUUGCAGCCAGACUUGCCUGUAGUUGCUCAUCCGGGCUUUCGCCCGGUGCACUCUUCUGCGGGCAGGCCAGCAUCAGUUUGGGCGGUUGGAUAAAGGUCUCUGUCAUGUACCUCUCUUCGGGGAGGCCUUAUAGGGGAGACGACAUGCAACCAGCCCAGACUGAGGUCCGCGCAUUUGCUAGGAUGCUGGCGUAAUGGCUGU
This 603-nucleotide ribosomal RNA is filed under the name uncultured fungus. RNAcentral describes it as "eukaryotic LSU rRNA". It matches the Rfam family "Eukaryotic large subunit ribosomal RNA", at positions 23 to 641 of the family's 3401-position model. Lineage: Eukaryota; Fungi. The record is from RNAcentral.